CUGGAAUUACAGGUGUGCACCACCGUGCCCGGCCAGAUCUUCAUAUAUCUAAAAAAUGUAUGUUUAACUUUGUGAUUGUUGAGCUAUUUGCUAUCCAAGGAAUUAACGGCGGAGUUGCAUGUCAUAGUAGCAACUGUGGGUUUGUUUGCAGGCUUCCCAAAAGUUGUUUGGUAGUAUACAGGCAUGAGGUGGUGUGACUCCAACUCAUUAGAUGCCUUCGUCUUUUCAGUUAUGUUCCUGUCAAGAGAUUAUAACAAACCUAACAAUGGUCAUUAUCAGGAGCUGUUUUUGGUAUCCAGGUUCCAGCCAGAAGAUCAUGUUGAACUUCAUAAUGACCAUUAAUGGGGGCUUUGCUUGUAGACAAGUGAUUAUGUGGGCCUUAAGCAUCCUACAGAUCAUGUGAUCUUCACAUAUCUUGGAGCAGCAGGACAUCUGGGGUUGAGAAGAUGGAGAGAGCAUCUUUAUAUAACGUUGCAAUCUGG
Molecule: long non-coding RNA, 482 nt
Organism: Piliocolobus tephrosceles (Ugandan red Colobus)
Lineage: Eukaryota; Metazoa; Chordata; Mammalia; Primates; Cercopithecidae
Exons: 6
Source: RefSeq, a predicted model, not a curated record